GUCAAAGAUCAAAGUGUUGUAUAUGUGUGGCUUUAUUUCUUGCUUCUCUAAUUUGUUCUAUUGAUCUAUGUGUCUGAUUUUGUACCAGUACCAUACUGUUUUUUAUUAUUGUAGCCUUGUAGUGUUGUUUGAUGUUGGGUGGCAAUUGAAGUCAGGUGGUCUUUGUUCUCUGUUCCAAAAAUCCUCUGCACUCUUAUCUUUUCAACCUUUUCUCCCUCAACCUGUGACAGCCAGUGAAAUUUUUAAUGUCUCCAUAGUUUUACCUUUUCUAGAACAUCAUACAGUUGGAAUCACAUAGAAGUGACUUUUCAGAUUGCCUUAUUUCACUUAUUAAUAUGCAUUUAUGGUUCUUCCAUGUUUUUUAUGGCUUGAUAU
This 375-nucleotide long non-coding RNA is filed under the name Pan troglodytes (chimpanzee). RNAcentral's name for it is "long non-coding RNA NONPTRT017767". The record is from RNAcentral. Lineage: Eukaryota; Metazoa; Chordata; Mammalia; Primates; Hominidae.